This 500-nucleotide ribosomal RNA is filed under the name uncultured bacterium. RNAcentral's name for it is "partial 16S ribosomal RNA". It matches the Rfam family "Bacterial small subunit ribosomal RNA", at positions 30 to 507 of the family's 1533-position model. The record is from RNAcentral.
CGAACGCUGGCGGCGUGCCUACUACAUGCAAGUCGACCGAACCGCGACUAGGUGCUUGCACUUGGUCAAGGUGAGUGGCGAACGGGUGAGUAACACGUGGGUAACCUACCUCAUAGUGGGGGAUAACAGUCGGAAACGACUGCUAAUACCGCAUAGGACAUAGGAUCACAUGAUCCAGUGAGGAAAGGUGGCGCAAGCUAUCGCUAAGAGAUGGACCCGCGGUGCAUUAGCUAGUUGGUAGGGUAAAGGCCUACCAAGGCGAUGAUGCAUAGCCGACCUGAGAGGGUGAUCGGCCACAUUGGGACUGAGACACGGCCCAAACUCCUACGGGAGGCAGCAGUGGGGAAUCUUCCGCAAUGGACGCAAGUCUGACGGAGCAACGCCGCGUGAGUGAAGAAGGUCUUCGGAUCGUAAAGCUCUGUUGUUAGAGAAGAACAGCGCAUAGAGUAACUGUUAUGCGUGUGACGGUAUCUAACCAGAAAGCCACGGCUAACUACGUG